RNAcentral lists this ribosomal RNA (705 nucleotides) under uncultured bacterium. RNAcentral describes it as "bacterial SSU rRNA". It matches the Rfam family "Bacterial small subunit ribosomal RNA", at positions 111 to 794 of the family's 1533-position model. The record is from RNAcentral.
UAACGCGUGGGUAACCUGCCCUUUUGUGGGGAACAACUUCGAGAAAUCGGAGCUAAUACCGCAUAAUAAUAGAGGAUCGCAUGAUUCUUUAAGGAAAGAUGGCCUCUGAAGAUGCUAUCGCAAAAGGAUGGACCCGCGUCUGAUUAGCUAGUUGGAAGGGUAACGGCCUACCAAGGCAACGAUCAGUAGCCGGCCUGAGAGGGUGAACGGCCACAUUGGGACUGAGACACGGCCCAAACUCCUACGGGAGGCAGCAGUGGGGAAUCUUCCGCAAUGGGCGAAAGCCUGACGGAGCAAUGCCGCGUGAGUGAAGAAGGCCUUCGGGUUGUAAAACUCUGUCNUUAUNGAAGAGAGGUAGGUAUGUGAAUAAUGUACCUAUAGGACGGUAGAUAAGGAGGAAGCCCCGGCUAACUACGUGCCAGCAGCCGCGGUAAUACGUAGGGGGCGAGCGUUGUCCGGAAUCACUGGGCGUAAAGGGCGCGUAGGCGGUUUAAUAAGUCAGUGGUGAAAACUGAGGGCUCAACCCUCAGCCUGCCACUGAUACUGUUAGACUUGAGUAUGGAAGAGGAGAAUGGAAUUCCUAGUGUAGCGGUGAAAUGCGUAGAUAUUAGGAGGAACACCAGUGGCGAAGGCGAUUCUCUGGGCCAAGACUGACGCUGAGGCGCGAAAGCGUGGGGAGCAAACAGGAUUAGAUACCCUGGUAGU